Molecule: small nuclear RNA, 103 nt
Organism: Rosa rugosa (rugosa rose)
Lineage: Eukaryota; Viridiplantae; Streptophyta; Magnoliopsida; Rosales; Rosaceae
Source: RefSeq, a predicted model, not a curated record
GUGUUCGUAGAAAGGAGAGAUGGUUGGCAUCUCCCCGGACAGGGACGGGAACAGUUAGAAUUAUUACCAACUUUGUAUGUGUAUUGAACUACUAAAUGUAUGU